UACGAAGGGUGCCAGCGUUGUUCGGAAUCACUGGGCGUAAAGAGUACGUAGGCGGUUAGGUAAGUCGAUUGUGAAAGCCCCGAGCUUAACUCGGGAAUUGCAACCGAAACUAUCUAGCUUGAGUAUGGUGGGGGAUAGUGGAAUUUCUAGUGUAGGGGUGAAAUCCGUAGAUAUUAGAAGGAAUACCGGUGGCGAAAGCGACUAUCUAUGCCAUUACUGACGCUGAGGUACGAAAGCGUGGGGAGCAAACAGG
This 253-nucleotide ribosomal RNA is filed under the name uncultured bacterium. RNAcentral describes it as "partial 16S ribosomal RNA". It matches the Rfam family "Bacterial small subunit ribosomal RNA", at positions 524 to 776 of the family's 1533-position model. The record is from RNAcentral.